UUCUCAGGAGCGGCCGGGGCAAGACCGAGCAGCUUCUAAAUGUCCCUGCGCUUGAUCUCAUUAUUCUGGAUUUGACUCAGCUCAGCCGAUUCAGAGUCACGGAGCCCCGGGCCUCCUUGUGAAACCUGCACCGCCAUGCGCAAGCGAGGGGCUGCUGGGGCGGACGAGCCUCUCUAGAGAGAAUUCCUGAACUGAAUCUUCCUAACGUCUCAGUGUUGCCAAGGGAUGCACGGGCUGUGCUGGAGGUCUGUCAGAGAGACUGAAGGUGGAGAGGAGAUGACCUGCUCCGGCAAGGGCAGGAGAGCAGGUCUGUGAGGGAGGGUCCUCAGAUCGAGAUAUUUGAGCAAAGUUUAAGGGAUUGACAGCCACCUGCCCCAGCCAGGAUUUCUUCCCUCCUGGAAAUUUCCAGUACUGGAAAGUGGCUGGAAUGCGGGUGCAGUCACUGAUAAGCCCUCUGCCCCAAAUGCACAGCCAUGUUCACCUACACCUGCCCGCUGGCAGAGCCCACGAUGUCUGGAAGACACAGGGGCCACUCAACCUGGACACUUCUGGCUUUUCCUCCAGCCCACGGAGGCCCUUCCUGCCAUGGGGAAAUCUCACUCCCUGCCCCAAAGAAAAUUCUCUGUACAACUGAA
Long non-coding RNA from Talpa occidentalis (Iberian mole), 635 nucleotides. RefSeq lists it as uncharacterized. The transcript is spliced from 3 exons. The record is from RefSeq and is a predicted model, not a curated record. NCBI's taxonomy places the organism in Eukaryota, Metazoa, Chordata, Mammalia, Eulipotyphla, Talpidae.